AAGGUCUGAAUUAUCAUAGUUUUGAAAUUCGUCAACCAGCAAAAAGUCGAGAUGUUACACUUUCACAUUUAAAGAGAAGAAAAGUUUUAGAGAUAGAGAGAGAGUCUGAGAGUGAGAAAAUAAAGUUGUGAGCCACUUCCUUCUCCUUUAUUGCUGUAAGCUUGUCAUCGCGUCCAUCUUUUUUUCCCCAAAAAGUAGGCAUUAACCUUGUCUCCUUGUUUUCUUUUCCUUCGAUGCCGAUCUAUUUUACAUGAGCACUUUUUCUUCUUCUUUUUGAAAUCAAAUGCACACAGGUUCUACAUUUUUCGAGAGAUGUC
Molecule: long non-coding RNA, 317 nt
Filed under: Carica papaya (papaya)
Lineage: Eukaryota; Viridiplantae; Streptophyta; Magnoliopsida; Brassicales; Caricaceae
Description: long non-coding RNA (CPAP_LNC010132)
Source: RNAcentral